RNAcentral lists this unclassified non-coding RNA (386 nucleotides) under soil metagenome. RNAcentral's name for it is "partial contains 5.8S ribosomal RNA, internal transcribed spacer 2, and large subunit ribosomal RNA". The stretch from base 1 to 120 matches the Rfam family "5.8S ribosomal RNA", at positions 35 to 154 of the family's 154-position model. The record is from RNAcentral.
GAUGAAGAACGCAGCGAAAUGCGAUAAGUAAUGUGAAUUGCAGAAUUCAGUGAAUCAUCGAAUCUUUGAACGCACCUUGCGCUCCUUGGUAUUCCGAGGAGCAUGCCUGUUUGAGUGUCAUUAAAUUCUCAACCUCACCAGUUUUCUGAACUGUUCUCCGAGGCUUGGAUGUGGGGGUUUGUGCAGGCUGCCUCAGCGCGGUCUGCUCCCCUGAAAUGCAUUAGCGAGUUCGAUACUGAGCUCCGUCUAUUAGUGUGAUAAUUAUCUACGCCGUGGAUCGGGGCUUAGACUCGCUUCUAACCGUCCGCAAGGACAAUACCUUGACAAUUUGACCUCAAAUCAGGUAGGACUACCCGCUGAACUUAAGCAUAUCAAUAAGCGGAGGA